GGCGCUGUAGCUCAGUUGGAUAGUAGCGACAGGCUGUUAACCUGUAGGUCAUCGGUUCGAGCCCGAUCAGUGCCG
This 75-nucleotide transfer RNA is filed under the name Acanthocystis turfacea Chlorella virus NTS-1. RNAcentral describes it as "tRNA-Asn". It matches the Rfam family "tRNA". From Rfam's summary of the family: Transfer RNA (tRNA) molecules are approximately 80 nucleotides in length. Their secondary structure includes four short double-helical elements and three loops (D, anti-codon, and T loops). Further hydrogen bonds mediate the characteristic L-shaped molecular structure. tRNAs have two regions of fundamental functional importance: the anti-codon, which is responsible for specific mRNA codon recognition, and the 3' end, to which the tRNAs corresponding amino acid is attached (by aminoacyl-tRNA synthetases). tRNAs cope with the degeneracy of the genetic code in two manners: having more than one tRNA (with a specific anti-codon) for a particular amino acid; and 'wobble' base-pairing, i.e. permitting non-standard base-pairing at the 3rd anti-codon position. The record is from RNAcentral. RNAcentral also lists the same sequence under 1 other name. Lineage: Varidnaviria; Bamfordvirae; Nucleocytoviricota; Megaviricetes; Algavirales; Phycodnaviridae.